Molecule: ribosomal RNA, 676 nt
Filed under: Acinetobacter sp. MZ_2
Lineage: Bacteria; Pseudomonadati; Pseudomonadota; Gammaproteobacteria; Moraxellales; Moraxellaceae
Description: bacterial SSU rRNA
Rfam family: Bacterial small subunit ribosomal RNA
Source: RNAcentral
UGAGUAAUGCUUAGGAAUCUGCCUAUUAGUGGGGGACAACAUUCCGAAAGGAAUGCUAAUACCGCAUACGUCCUACGGGAGAAAGCAGGGGAUCUUCGGACCUUGCGCUAAUAGAUGAGCCUAAGUCGGAUUAGCUAGUUGGUGGGGUAAAGGCCUACCAAGGCGACGAUCUGUAGCGGGUCUGAGAGGAUGAUCCGCCACACUGGGACUGAGACACGGCCCAGACUCCUACGGGAGGCAGCAGUGGGGAAUAUUGGACAAUGGGGGGAACCCUGAUCCAGCCAUGCCGCGUGUGUGAAGAAGGCCUUAUGGUUGUAAAGCACUUUAAGCGAGGAGGAGGCUACUGAGACUAAUACUCUUGGAUAGUGGACGUUACUCGCAGAAUAAGCACCGGCUAACUCUGUGCCAGCAGCCGCGGUAAUACAGAGGGUGCGAGCGUUAAUCGGAUUUACUGGGCGUAAAGCGUGCGUAGGCGGCUUUUUAAGUCGGAUGUGAAAUCCCCGAGCUUAACUUGGGAAUUGCAUUCGAUACUGGGAAGCUAGAGUAUGGGAGAGGAUGGUAGAAUUCCAGGUGUAGCGGUGAAAUGCGUAGAGAUCUGGAGGAAUACCGAUGGCGAAGGCAGCCAUCUGGCCUAAUACUGACGCUGAGGUACGAAAGCAUGGGGAGCAAACAGGAU